CAAUAGCGUAUAUUAAAGUUGUUGCAGUUAAAAAGCUCGUAGUUGGAUUUGUGGUGUGUCCAGUCGGCCUUUGCUCUCUGAGUGAUUGUGCUGUACUGGUCUGCCAUGUUUGGGUGGAAUCUGUGUGGCAUUAAGUUGUCGUGCAGGGGAUGCCCAUCGUUUACUGUGAAAAAAUUAGAGUGUUCAAAGCAGGCUUAUGCCGUUGAAUAUAUUAGCAUGGAAUAAUAAUAUAGGACCUUGGUACUAUUUUGUUGGUUUGCGCACUAAGGUAAUGAUUAAGAGGGACAGUUGGGGGUAUUUGUAUUCCAUUGUCAGAGGUGAAAUUCUUAGAUUUUUGGAAGACAAACUACUGCGAAAGCAUUUACCAAGGAUGUUUNCAUUAA
Molecule: ribosomal RNA, 383 nt
Filed under: uncultured eukaryote
Lineage: Eukaryota
Description: partial 18S ribosomal RNA
Rfam family: Eukaryotic small subunit ribosomal RNA
Source: RNAcentral